This 253-nucleotide ribosomal RNA is filed under the name uncultured bacterium. Its description in RNAcentral is "partial 16S ribosomal RNA". It matches the Rfam family "Bacterial small subunit ribosomal RNA", at positions 524 to 776 of the family's 1533-position model. The record is from RNAcentral.
UACGUAGGGCGCGAGCGUUGUCCGGAUUUAUUGGGCGUAAAGAGCUCGUAGGCGGUUUGUCGCGUCGUUCGUGAAAACUCACAGCUCAACUGUGAGCUUGCGGUCGAUACGGGCAGGCUAGAGUUCGGUAGGGGAGACUGGAAUUCCUGGUGUAGCGGUGAAAUGCGCAGAUAUCAGGAGGAACACCGGUGGCGAAGGCGGGUCUCUGGGCCGAUACUGACGCUGAGGAGCGAAAGCGUGGGGAGCGAACAGG